RNAcentral lists this ribosomal RNA (404 nucleotides) under uncultured bacterium. RNAcentral's name for it is "bacterial SSU rRNA". It matches the Rfam family "Bacterial small subunit ribosomal RNA", at positions 359 to 775 of the family's 1533-position model. The record is from RNAcentral.
GAAUAUUGGACAAUGGGCGCAAGCCUGAUGCAGCGACGCCGCGUGAGGGAUGACGGCCUUCGGGUUGUAAACCUCUUUCAGCAGGGAAGAAGCGAAAGUGACGGUACCUGCAGAAGAAGCACCGGCUAACUACGUGCCAGCAGCCGCGGUAAUACGUAGGGUGCGAGCGUUGUCCGGAAUUAUUGGGCGUAAAGAGCUCGUAGGCGGUCUGUCGCGUCUGCUGUGAAAACUCGGGGCUUAACCCCGAGCCUGCAGUGGGUACGGGCAGACUAGAGUGUGGUAGGGGAGACUGGAAUUCCUGGUGUAGCGGUGGAAUGCGCAGAUAUCAGGAGGAACACCGAUGGCGAAGGCAGGUCUCUGGGCCACAACUGACGCUGAGGAGCGAAAGCGUGGGGAGCGAACAG